RNAcentral lists this transfer RNA (81 nucleotides) under Roseofilum sp. SBFL. Its description in RNAcentral is "tRNA-Leu". It matches the Rfam family "tRNA". Rfam says of the family: Transfer RNA (tRNA) molecules are approximately 80 nucleotides in length. Their secondary structure includes four short double-helical elements and three loops (D, anti-codon, and T loops). Lineage: Bacteria; Bacillati; Cyanobacteriota; Cyanophyceae; Desertifilales; Desertifilaceae. The record is from RNAcentral.
GCGGAUGUGGCGGAAUUGGUAUACGCGCACGCUUGAGGGGCGUGUGGCUUUUCCUUUCGAGUUCGAGUCUCGCCAUCCGCA